GACGAACGCUGGCGGCGUGCCUAAUACAUGCAAGUUGAGCGCUGAAGGUUGGUACUUGUACCAACUGGAUGAGCAGCGAACGGGUGAGUAACGCGUGGGGAAUCUGCCUUUGAGCGGGGGACAACAUUUGGAAACGAAUGCUAAUACCGCAUAAAAACUUUAAACACAAGUUUUAAGUUUGAAAGAUGCAAUUGCAUCACUCAAAGAUGAUCCCGCGUUGUAUUAGCUAGUUGGUGAGGUAAAGGCUCACCAAGGCGAUGAUACAUAGCCGACCUGAGAGGGUGAUCGGCCACAUUGGGACUGAGAAACGGCCCAAACUCCUACGGGAGGCAGCAGUAGGGAAUCUUCGGCAAUGGACGAAAGUCUGACCGAGCAACGCCGCGGGAGUGAAGAAGGGUGUCGGAUCGUAAAACUCUGUUGGUAGAGAAGAACGUUGGUGAGAGUGGAAAGCUCAUCAAGUGACGGUAACUACACAGAAAGGGACGGCUAACUACGUG
Molecule: ribosomal RNA, 497 nt
Filed under: uncultured bacterium
Lineage: Bacteria
Description: partial 16S ribosomal RNA
Rfam family: Bacterial small subunit ribosomal RNA
Source: RNAcentral